UACGUAGGUCCCAAGCGUUGUCCGGAUUUAUUGGGCGUAAAGCGAGCGCAGGUGGUUUCUUAAGUCUGAUGUAAAAGGCAGUGGCUCAACCAUUGUGUGCAUUGGAAACUGGGAGACUUGAGUGCAGGAGAGGAGAGUGGAAUUCCAUGUGUAGCGGUGAAAUGCGUAGAUAUAUGGAGGAACACCGGUGGCGAAAGCGGCUCUCUGGUCUGUAACUGACGCUGAGGCUCGAAAGCGUGGGGAGCGAACAGG
Molecule: ribosomal RNA, 252 nt
Filed under: uncultured bacterium
Lineage: Bacteria
Description: partial 16S ribosomal RNA
Rfam family: Bacterial small subunit ribosomal RNA
Source: RNAcentral